GGGCGCGUAGCUCAGUGGGAGAGCACUCGCCUUACAAGCGAGGGGUCGCAGGUUCGAAACCUGCCGCGCCCACC
This 74-nucleotide transfer RNA is filed under the name Salinispora arenicola. RNAcentral's name for it is "tRNA-Val". It matches the Rfam family "tRNA". Rfam says of the family: Transfer RNA (tRNA) molecules are approximately 80 nucleotides in length. Their secondary structure includes four short double-helical elements and three loops (D, anti-codon, and T loops). RNAcentral also lists the same sequence under 11 other names. The record is from RNAcentral. Lineage: Bacteria; Bacillati; Actinomycetota; Actinomycetes; Micromonosporales; Micromonosporaceae.